GAUAAACUACCAAAACAAACCAUCUGAAAGCUUAAUUCUUGUUUGCUACCAUUGAUGCAAAACAGCUAUAGUAUGACACAAUGUCGCAGUCGAACUUUAUUCAGGAUAGAAAAGUAAGAAAACAAGAAAACACACAUAACAAAUAUAUAAAAAUAUAGGACAAGAGGCAAACAUAUAGUCUUUUGGCUUCAAUAAUCCUCUUCAUCUGUUUCCCUUCAUAGUUCAGUGCCUUGUCCUGCUUCUUCGCCUGCAAGAUACUCAACUAUGUUAAACGAGGCAAAGCAACCAUUUUGUUCAAACAUGUAAAGCUUGCAUUUGCUUCUUACCUCGGAGACCUUGAAUACGAGGAAGAGCNNNNNNNNNNNNNNNNNNNNNNNNNNNNNNNNNNNNNNNNNNNNNNNNNNNNNNNNNNNNNNNNNNNNNNNNNNNNNNNNNNNNNNNNNNNNNNNNNNNNCCCGACAUAUGUCAAUAGUUUAGGUGUCUUGUUAAUAUUUGUUUCGGUUCAUUUAUUUAGAUUUAUUUCCUAAACGAAAUCUAUUUUUUACCUUUCUUCUCUUAGCUUACAUUCGAUUGAUUUAAAAGACAGAGAAAUGAAAUACACCUAUUUCAACUCAAUGGCAGAUCAAUUUUCAUCGACAUACCUUUAAUUCAAUUUGACAGGGACUGAACACUCUUUUAUCAAUAUUAAUGUUGAGUUGUUAACAAGAUGAUUGUACCAUGAAUAAACGACGCUUAGGAGGACUUGCGUACUGCCUUUAGUGAAAAUAUUAACUUCCGAUCCAUGAUUGCGUUGUUUGGUACUAUCAGACAAUAGUCAUUAGCGACUCUAAUCUACCAGUACAUUGUUAGAAUGUUUUAUAGUACAUACUUUUACCAACCAGUUGCAAGUUGAAACCAUCUUUUAAAAAAGCCUUUAAAAAUAAAUGAUGAUUAAAGCUUUAUACUAAUUAGGUUCCAAGUGGGGAGUUAUCUCGGGGGUCUCAUUUGACGUGUGAUGUUGAAUUUAUGAAAGAUAUUCUAAUGAUCUCGUGGUCCCUUUCAUAGGGUAUGCAUAACCACCAUGUUAUGUUUUAAUGUAACUAACAAAUUGACAAAAUGAGGUGAAUGUGAGACUCCGAAACUUGAAAACUUCCAUUAAACAUGUACGAAAAACAUAAUCAAACUUGAGUAGUGCGAGUUCAUGUUACGUAUCUUAUCUUGGUCAAAAAAAAAAUGUUACGUAUCUUAUAUUAUACGUACAUAUUAGAGGAUUAUUUGGUGUGUUGCAUAUGUCAUAUGAUAUGCACAUAGAUCGUUAUAUUAUCCUAUCAUAUUACUGUUUUUUGCAAGUAAUUAAAUAAAAAGGGACACGAGGAUAAAAGGUAAAAGAAAGUUUAGGAUCAUCAUCUUUGUUUUUUAUUCGGACUUUCAAAUCAGACAAGACAACGAGGUAUGGGUCUUUUAACAUACAGAGACGAGACUUAAAAUCCAUCAAACCACCAAUAAAAAAAAGGAAACGAGAGAAAACAUCCAAUUCAACUAUCUGUUUGAAUCAAGACAAGAUAUAAAGUGUAUCAUGCUGAUUUUGAACAGAUUAUUAAUAUCUCAACCAUCCUUUCAUUGAGAUAUUAGAAAACUAUAGAGGCUAUUAAUCUUUUUUUCUUAUCAUAUCAUCGUAUGCAUGCAUGUUGAAUUCUAACUAGAUACUUCAAUUACUUGAGAUAUCAUUUGUCGUGUAUGUUCUCAAUAACAUAAAUUGUUAUAUAAUCACUUAAUCAGACUCUAGCAUGUCCCUAGGAUUACUUCGGUUUCUUUUUAUUAUCAAAACAGAUAAUCACUUAAUCAGCUUUUGACCUUAAAAUCGUUAUAAAAAUAAUAUGAAGGCAGCUGCUGAAAAAAUGCUGCAGGCUUUUAGCAACUGCCUCCCAUAUGCUUUAUCUUUGUUUCAGAAAUUGUAAAUACGAGGAUAAUUAAGUACUUAUGUUUUGAAUGUUUCACAGUGAAACAAAUAAUGCAGUUAGGGCGCAUUCAUUAAUUAAGAGAAAGUGCAGUGAUGAUGUUUUCUGUGCAAGUUAAAAUAAAAGAAAAUAGUAAAAGGUAUAUUCUUACACUACAUGUUAGAGCAUCUCCAAACCCGCUUUAUUUUUCACUCUAAAAUAGAGUUUAGAGUAAAAAAAUGCUCUAAUGGUAUUCUAUUUCUCACUCUAUAAUAGAGUGAAAAAUAUGUUUACUCCAAAUAUAGAGUAAUUUGUUUUUUUUGUUCAUCACUCUAUUUUCUAUUCUAAAAUAGAGUACCAUUGGAACAAACUCAAACUCUAUUAUAGAGUUACUCUAUUUUAGAGUAAAAAAUAGAAUAAGCCAUUGGAAAUUGUUUUAUUGUGUAACUUGAAUGAGAAUAUCUUUUUAUUUUUGUAACUGGGACUUGAAUGAGAAUAUCAUAUUGACGAUUUCGAUUUUACAGCUGAUACAAUCUAUAGUUUACUCUACAGAGCAAGAUCGGUUAUAAAAUCCAGAUGAUUGACAUUUCUUUUUCACCAAACUGUUAAAUAUACAUUACCAAGCUCUUAUAAAAUCCAGAUGAUUAACUACGCCGAACAAUUGCGACCUGGUUUUAUGACCAUCUCCAAUGAUUCAUACUAUUUUUUACUAUUUAUAGAAUAAUUUUAUAAUAAAAUUGAGUUAUAUUUCAAUAAUACUCUAUUUUAGAGUAAAAAGUAUAGCGAUGAACAAAGAAAAAACAACUUACUUCAUAUAUAGAAUAAAUCCAUUUUUUUAUUCUAUUAUAAAAUAAAAAAUAAAGUACCAUUGAAAUAUUUUUACUCUAAACUCUAUUUUACAAUAGAAAAUAUAGUAAGAGAUGCACUAAUAAUACUAAAACAUAUAUGGAUAUAUCAUAUAUGUAUAUAUAAACUUUUUGUUAAUAUUAACUGCAGAAUUGUAAACAUUUAAGUCAAUGAAUUGUAUAAUUGAGAAGAACAGUAAAUUCUAUAAUUUUCAUUAUUCAUCGUGCAAUACAAGAACUGAUUUAAAGUCGCACGUUAAUUUAACGCAUAUGUCAGUAGCAUGGGCUUAAAAGUCCAUAGAAUAAAAUAGCAACAACCAACUACGAUGUAUAUUCUUUAUUAUCACGACACGAGUCGUAAUAUUUUUUAAAUAUAUAGCGUUUCAUACAACAGAAUUAACGUCUGUGUUUCUCCUAACAAGUAAGAAUUGGAAUUGUCGUUCAAAUUACCAAAAAAAAGGAAUUUUUUUGUCAAACACAAAAGACGUAUUACUUCAUUUUCUAUAAACUAAUGGAAGUUUUUCAAAAUUUCCCCGUCAAAAUUAAACUCUGAUAUAUAAAAUUCAUUUUAUUAGAGUUUCAUCCGUGGUAGCACAGAGAACAUGCUUGACAUUUUAUACAGACUUCUAUUUUAAACAAUGGGUUACAAGAAAGCAUAUAAAAGCUUGUAUCAUUUGUUACCCAAUAAAAUAAAAACUAACUGCUAGUACUAGUUUAGUAAGUGUAUCUCACGUGCGACGAGGAAUUGUUUUGGGAGAAGGAGAAAGAAAGAAAACACUCUUUUUAUAAUUUUUAGGAAUUUUUAUAAUGUUACUUGCCUUGUUUGAAAAACCGUGAGAAGAAAAAAAAACACGAACUCAUUGCUUUUGCUACAGUAACAGCUAGUCUAAACUUUUAACUCGGUGACAGUCCAAUCAUUAUAACCCCUGUGUCUUAGCUGGCGCGUGACAGUUACUCUAUUUUCUCUUCUCCAUUGCCCAUAAAAAUCAAAAACUCUGCUUUUAAUUGUUCACAGAGAGAGAGAGAAGUGAAGCAACAAAAAAAAAAGAAGAGAUAAUGGGAGAUAAUAAGAAACUGAUUUCAUCUUCUUCUUCUUCAACUAAUACCUCGAUUUACGACACUCGUGGUAAUAAUAGUAACAAUCAUCAUCAUCAUCAUCCUCCGUCAUCUUCCGACGAGAUUUCUCAGUUUCUCCGGCAUAUUUUCGACCGUUCUUCUCCUUUACCUUCUUACUACUCUCCGGCCAUGACCACGACGACUUCCACGGCGGCGAUAGGUGUUCAGGGAGACCCGCAUGCAGACAACCCGAGAAGCUUCGUUUCUACUACACCGGCGUCGAAGCGCGCCGUUGAUUUCUCCGACGUUUUGAUCGGCUCCGCCGCCGCCGCCGCNNNNNNNNNNNNNNNNNNNNNNNNNNNNNNNNNNNNNNNNNNNNNNNNNNCGCCGCCGGGUGUUAUGGUUUCCCCGGCGGUGGUAACAACAUUGCUCAAGGGAGCAGCUCGGGGACUCGUGUUUCGUCUUCUUCCAUUGGAGCUAGCGGGAACGAGACCGACGAGUAUGACUGCGAAAGCGAGGUUUUGCUUUGAAACUUUGUCUCUUUGCAUGUUCUAAGAGUUUCCAUCUUUGUCUGUUUUCCGACAAAAUUACCAACAGUGAUUUUUCUCUUAACGGAUCUGUACGCUUUUUUUUUUCCCACCUUAAUUGUCUGAAUGUUGAUAAUUAAUUAUAAUGCACACCUUAACGUGGUUGGAUGAAAAAAAAUAGGAAGGAGUAGAAGCUGUGGUUGAUGAUGAGCUUCCCUCGAAGUCUCGUAACUCAUCUAAGAGGUGCAGAGCUGCUGAAGUUCAUAAUUUGUCUGAAAAGGUUUAGUUUAACUAGGCUCUCCCAAAAUUAUAAGUUUUUUCAGACACAAUCAAUGCUAUUGUUACUUGAGACUAAUGUUACCUACUUUUUAUGACAGAGGAGAAGAAGUAGAAUCAAUGAAAAAAUGAAAGCUUUACAAAGUCUCAUCCCUAAUUCAAAUAAGGUACUAUUAUGUAUAUAAACACACAUUUACAUGAAUCAUUUUUUUUCCUCCGAUUCUGAUGUACAAUAUACAUGCCGUUGUUUUCAUUGGGGGAAGACGGAUAAGGCUUCGAUGCUUGAUGAAGCCAUAGAGUAUCUGAAACAGCUUCAGCUCCAAGUUCAGGUCACUUAAAGAUUAACUAAUUAAUUUGUUAUAACGAAAUAUAUAUUGGUCUAUUAUCUGUGGCGGGUGAUGAUAAGUUUUCUUAUUUAUUCUGAUAUUUGAAGAUGUUGACAAUGAGGAAUGGGCUAAACUUGCAUCCUUUAUGCUUACCUGGAACUUCAUUACACCCACUGCAACUCUCACAGAUCCGACCUCCAGAAACAAGCAAUGAUCCUCUGCUUAACCACUCCAACCAAUAUGCUUCGACUUCUAAUGCACCGGAUAUGAUCAACAUGCCUUCCGCGUACACAAUGGAACCUUCCAUCCGCAGUCACUUUGGACCUUUUCCCCACUUCACUCCACCUGUGGUGUGUUAGUUAAAUUAUCACAUUUUCACUCUAUAAACUUUAGAUUCUUUUGAAAGCUAGUUUGCUUAUUAGAAAUAUAUUUGUUUCUUGAAAGGAGAUGAGUCGAGAAGGCGGGUUAACUCAUCAGAGGUUGAACACUAGUGGUAAGAUUGGCUCUGAAUCUUAAAGAAGUUUAUAAUAUUGACGGGAGACAAUGUUAAAAAAUGUUCCGACAUUUUGGCAAUUUGCAGGAGAACAUGCUGCGUUUGAUGGACAACAUCCUGAGAUAAAAGAUCGACUUACUUGAACCUCAUUCUCAGUUUGGGGGGCUCUAUGCGUUCUUGUUUCUUAGGUCGCAAGCAACGAAGCUGCAUGACAAUGAAAAUGCAUUUAGCGUCUUUUAUAUUUUUAUAAUUCUCUAUAUCUUUGUUGUUGUUAACAUGAAUUCUAGAGACUAGUCAUUGGACCUACUAGAUAUUAUAUAAAAGAAGACUUAACUUUUAUUAUGUUCAUGGUGUAAUGUAAAUUUUCUAGAUCAUCGUCGCAUUGUAUUGGGGCCUCUAGUUAUAGAUAAAUGUCUAAAUAACUUUUCUAAUCAAAUGAUAAUGAUGUUGUAAGAUAUUUUUUCGAUAUAUCGUCAAACAUUCUGCAUUGAUUCGUAAGCAUCCACUCAUAUUAUAGAUAAAAUAAAUUUUCAUUGCACCAUCAAGAGAAAGUAGAACUGAGAAAUUUUGAAAAAUCUCAAAUUUAUUACUGUAUUAAAAAAAGAACGUAAAGGGGAGAACCUAUUUUGUCUCAGGAAAACCUAAUUGGUUACUUACACUUUACAGGUUAGUGUAAGUGCCAAGUUGUAUGACUUCAUCCAUUUCCUCUGGCUCAAUGAAGCUCCUGUGUCCUGUCGGUGAGCUGCAUUUAGAUUUCACAGUUGUAGUUUUGUCUGCUUCGGUCUUUGUAUAAAACAAAGAUAUAACCAUAGUAUCAGCCUUGCCAUUUUCUGAAUUCUUGAUCUCACCUUUUUGUAUAACAACAUUGUCUCAUAAUGAUAUUCACCAACAUCUCUCCGAAUAAAAAUUCAGAAUUUAGAUUCCAACGUCAUUGUUAUUUGUUUGAUUAUUGGUUUAUUAUUUAGCUUAUUAUUAUUACAUACUCAACAUGUAUCCUAAAAACUAGAAAUUGCAAGAUGUAAAAGCAAAAUGUAUUAUGGAAUCAAUAUGAGACGUUAUCACAAGGUAGGAAAAUAUUUGAAGGUAAUUUCAAAAUUAACACAUAUUAUAGGGGUCAUUGACCUAAAAUUUACAAAACUUACCAAGUUUUUGAUGAAAUAUACAAGUAGUUUUUUUUUAAUAAGAAACACCUGGGUCAAUUGACCCACAUGGUAACACUGUGGCUCCGCCACUGGUUUGCACUGUCUUUCCUCAGUAACAAGUUCAUGAUAGUUUAAAUGUAUUAGGCCUAACCCAAUUAUAAUGUCUAAAAAACCAAUCCAAAUGCCGAAAUUCUAUAGCUACAUUCUUAGCUCAAUUGUUCUGUUUUUUUUUUUAACUGAAAAUUAUUUAUUAUUUAGAUAGUAACCAAAUUACAUAAAUACAUAUACAACAACGAGAAACAAAAAAAAACUUUUUCAAAAAAAUAAAAUAAAAUAAUGAGAAACAACAAAUCUCCAACCUCAUUGUUAUUUGUUUGAUUAUUGGUUUAUUAUUUAGUUGUUUAUUACAUACUCAACAUGUAUACUAAAGAAUAGAAAUUGUAGGACGUAAAAACAAAAUGUAUUAUAGAAUCAGUAUGAGACGUUAUCACAAAACUCGUUUGCACUGUUUUUUCUCAAUAACAAGCUCAUGAGAAUCAGCUCAAAUGUAUUGGGCCUAACCCAAUUAUAAUGUCUAAAAACUAACCUAAAGGCCCAAAUUCAAGGAGAAGCGGAUGGUGUUCGCGCAGCAGCACAUGAUGACCCUUUCAAACUGGCUCCCCAUAUCAACAAAAUGAGCAACGAAAGGAGAUAGAAACACAUGCGCUCUCUUGCUCUCUUGCUCUUUCUCUUUCUCUUUCUCUUGAUUUAAGUUACACUCGAAACAUUUCACACAUGUAAAACAAGCUUCGAGUCCAUUAAUACAAGGUUUGGUGACUUUACUUGGUGGCAAAAGAAUUAUUCCAUCUUUCAACAUCUGACACUUUCAUUAGUUAACUAUAACCGACAAAUAACAAAUCAAACUUUUUUUUUAUCUUUGGUUAACACUAAGCAGAGUAUAUAAAUGGCAAAAAAAAAAGUUUUGUGUUCUUUCAAAAAAUAAUCUAAUAUUCAUUUACAAUAGUCAACGAGCUAAUUAACAAAAGAUUAAAUCAAGACCGUCAAUUCUCUAAUUAACCCCAUAAUUAUCUCCAUCAUGUGACUUGGUCUUUCUCCACUAAUUAAACUACUAUACUACUCCCUUCAACCUCACGUACGUUGACCCAAUCACAUGAAACCGACCAAUCAGGUACAUUCUCGGAAACUAACCCACUGAUUCUCUCCUUUGGUAAACAUACCAAAUAACUGAACGGUGAACAAUUAACCGGUGAGCAAACCGUAACUGAAUCGUUAACCGAGUUCCAAUCAGGAAAAUCAAAAGGAUCUCUCGGUGAAACCGAAGCCUCGUCUUCAUCGCCACACCUCAGUGAACCACUACUUCUCUCAUCAUCAUGAUCAACGGCUAAGAACGGAUGAUCCAAAAGCAUCUGAGCCGUCCAUCUCUCCACCGGGUCUUUGACAAAACACCUCCUCACGAAAUCUUUCCCUUCCUCCGACAACUCAACCGGAAUCUUCGGAACAUCUCCCGAACCGAUACGAACCAUCAAAGACAUUACGUUCCCAACUCCUUCCUCCAAACACCAUGCCGUUUUGCCACUCGACAUCUCAACUACACACCAUCCCAACGCCCAAACAUCCGCCGGAGACUCAAACUCGCCGCGAUUAACCGCUUCCGGCGCCAAAUAUAACGGCGUUCCUCUUAUCUCAUCCACGGUCUCGCCCCUCCGUUUCGCCAACCCGAAAUCGGAAAUCUUCACGCCUCCGUCGCCGAACACCAAAACAUUCUCAAGCUUUACAUCGCAAUGAGAGUAACCAUUCGCGUGGACGCGACGCAACCCUUUAACAAUCGACCUCGUGAACCGCCGCACUUCGAACUCCGGCAGCCCCUCGCCGGAGUUCUUGAUCCUAUCCCUCAAGUUUCCGCCGGAAGCGUACUCGAGAAACAGAUUGUAUACCUCCUCUCCGUUCUCCACCGUCGUUGCUCCUCCGAAACACCGCACGAUCUCCGGACAGUGGCCGAGAUCUUCAAGAACGUCUCUCUCGUUGCGUAACGCGGCGGAGCAGACUGCUCCGGAGGAUUUCACGGCGAUCAAGGGAGGAAAGGAGGUUGAGCUUGCGGAGGUAGUGGCUAGACUAACGGUGGAGAAGCUCCCGUGACCUAUUGUCUCUCGACGAACCCACUCCAUUAAUUGUAGAACUCAAAGCACAGAGAAAUAAAAAGUCUACGAAACAGUUAGUUUCUCUCUGUACUUUCUUCUGCAACUCUACUUGUUCUGUCUUUAUAUAUAUAUACUCACUUUAAUUAAUUUUAAUUUUUUUUUGUAAAAAGAAGGAAAAAUGCAAAGUUUGUUGUGAACACUAGUGUAUUGUUGUGGAAUUGAUGCACGUGAUAUAAGGCCUAUUACUGUAUAGUAUUUGUUAUUUGGUCUUGGCCACGAGAUAAAAUAGCGGCAAAUGAAGAAAACGUGGGUGGUGAGAACGAAGAAGAAGACUCUUCUUGUUGCCUUCUUUAAGAUAUUUCUUCCUUGCCAUGCGCAUCACGCGUUUUUUUUAACAAAAUAUAAAAAUAUCGCUUAUGAAACACAACUAUAGAUUUGCACCAUACCUAAACAGGUUUAUAUAAUGAUUUACUACAAUUUUGUCUUGUGAAUACAGAUUUUUGAUGUUUUUCCAUCACGUAAGCAUAAAGGAAUAUGAAUUUAGUUAUGAUUUUAUAUACUUUGGAAGAAAUGCAUGAGGUAGAUUCGUAGUUCUACACGUUUGUUUCAAGAUCUACCAUGUGAAUUGCGUUUUUUCAAGUAGGGUAAAUAUCCAGAGGAGAGAUCUUGAUUGUUUUUUCCUGACGUGAACUAUUUUUCAUAUGGCUGUGAAUAUUGAUUAUCUUUUAGAAUAAAUUAUAUAAUGGUCAAAAUAAUUGUAGAACAGCUCUCUUAGCUUCUUGACAGACUCUGAAGAUGUUUACAAGCUUUGGGCUUUCGUAGGCAAGUUCCUAAACCCUGGUUUUAGCAGAGAAGGUUCGCUUCCUACUGUAGAAGAAGAAGAAGAAGAUGCAGAGGACUCAGAGACGUGAGUUCUUAGUAGAAAUGCACAAAGCCACAACUUUUUAGAAGAACUGUGAAUGAAUAGAUUUGGUAUAGCUUAUUAUUAAAAAUCAACAGUUUAUCAUUCAUUAUUAGAUGCACCAACCUUGACUAAUUUUGAGUUAGAAUUUUAAGCGAUGUAUAAAAGUAUAUAAUCUUUUGCCAUGAGGGCUACCAGAAUGAACUUGAAACGUCACCAUGUAGUUAAUUUAUCACCUACUACUAUAUGCCAGAGAAAGAGACUCAUACAAACAUCACAUAUAUAUAUAUAUAUAUGCCCACAAAAUUUGGUGCCUAAAGUAUGGGUCUUACGAGCGUUAGGCCAUGACCGGCCUUGAGCACCAGGAAGUUGAAUUUGUGCUGUAAACCAGAGACGGUAUUAGUAUGAUCAUGAUGAUAGAGUUAGUGCCCAAAUGAGCUAAAGCUGCAGCAUGAAACGAGUAUACAUAAAUGCACCAAAUGGUUACAAAUAUUUGCUUUGUUAUGUAUGAUUUUAAAAUGAAAUAAAUCAAAGAUAACUGAAGGUCCAAUUAUGAGGGAUCAGUUAAAAGGCCUAAAUUUUAGGCCCAUUUUGCUCAAUAUACAUAGGGAGAUUCUAAAUUGCAGAAGUGAGCUUUAUUUUUAAUAAUUGGCGAACUUGUACCUCGACGGCGGUGGAAUGACUGAUUUGCCCUCAUGGCAGAAAAGCUUAUCUAGUAGCCAAAAAACCUGCAACCGGUUAUAGUUUUAGUUGAAUUAUUUAGUUUACAUUUUGCGAUGGUCAUACGUGUUUGGGUUGUAUAUAACACCACAUGUUAAAUAGGUUUCGUUUCCAAUAUAAUCAACAGGUGUAGUUAUAAUAAUGACAUCCUAUUUAUAAAGGAGAAGGCCACUCUCCACGUUUUCCAUUGCAUAAAACUCAGAAAGUGAAGAAUAUGAAACUCAGAGUAAUGCAGCCUCGUAAGAUUUCUUUAUACAAUCAAAGUUGUAAAAGUCACCCAUAUCCCGGUACUUCCAAAUCUCUUCGCAUCAAUCCAUGGAGAUCCAAAUGGUUAAAUGUGAAAGGGAGUGAUUAUGAUUAAAUGAGAGUCAGACUUUCUCAUUAACAUUACAACAUUCGGAGGUACUUUAGUUUUGUAUACCACAUAUUCGUCAUUAAUUAAUAUUGGAGGGUUACUAUUUUUCAAUACUGAUUUGAAUGAUGGAUGAUAAACAGAAUUCAGAUUGGAUAAGUAGAUCCGUAAACGACAGCGUUGAGAGAUAGGUUAAUAAUGUUUGCUAGAUAUUUUUUGUGAAACAAGUGACUGUCGUUGUUUUGUGUACUAUUCAUUCGAUUGUGAAAUGUUAAAAUUCUUUGGGUACUCAUCAAAUCGGUGUCUAAAAUCCAAAAUAAAAUAUAGUUUAAUUAAAGGAGGGGGAGGAGCCACGUUUCCAUAAUAAGUAGCAUACGUUUAAGUUGGGUUCCCCCUCGCAAACUGCACUAUAAAUAAGGAUUAAAGGUGCGAUAGAUAAGACACAACAUCUUUUCCAGAAAUCUGAAGUUCGCGUUGAAAUAUAGGAAUCAAUUGUGAGGGCUGUAAAAGAGAGCUACCAAAUAUAAGUGAGUUCUACACUUUACUCAUUGACUGCAAAAGUUUUAAAUGAGCAUGGCGUGGGAGUAUCAUAAAUAUUUAAGAUAACAUAAGACAAUUAAUUAAGUUUCAUAAUUUCUCAAUUAAUUAUCAUCGUCGUUACCUUGUCCACAGAUGGGUCAGCUUGUACGAAUUAGUAUUGGGGAGUGGAGUAAAAGUGCAGCCGGGUGUUGGCAAUUCGAGGGAGAUCCUUCUGCAGUGGACAAGUAUAUCGUUGCACGCAGCAACGAAAAUAUCAACUCCUUUACGUCUCCCAUAUGGUCACAUGUAGUUCAAUGGUAUGGUCACAUGUUUCGUUUUCAUCUGUUUUGGUAUGCAUUAAUCGAACCAGGGUAGAAGGGAUGUUAAGUUUGAGUGUUUAAUGUAAAAUAUAUGUAAAACACUCUUUAAGAUGUAAAUGUAAAAUAUUAUUUAAAUUAAAAAUCAAGUUCCUCCUUGCUAACCAGACCAAGUGGAUUUCAGACCAACAAUUUCCUUUCCACAUAUAUAACUGUUUAUUAACUGACAUAACUGUAUUUCUGUAUUAUAUCCGUGUUUGUGUAUUAUAUCCGAAUAUCAGCGCCGUUAAAAUGCGACCCCAACAACAGAGUAAUUAUUCGUGUUGGCCGUUGACCCUAAAACAGUAGUAUAUAUCUGUUAACAAGUGUUUCAGUAACGGAAAGUAUAGCAUAGGAAGUAAAACAAACAUAUGACAUACAUGGCUCAAGAUUACGGAAGCAAACAGAAGUAGUUAGGAAAAUGACAGAGACCACCAACUCGAACAGCAAAUUAAACCAUAAUGAAGAUAGUAAGUAUAGUUUAAAUCAGAAGCAUAGACAUUUUAAAAACACACCAAAGGAAAGACGGUAUUAUGGCUUCAACCGUAAACAGAGUUUAACAACAACAACAGCGGAACACACUAGAGCUUCUUGUGGAACUCAUAAGUCAGCACAGCUACCCUUUGUGACUCGUCGGGAAUGAUUGAUGGAGUGAUAGUACUACAACUUUCUGGCCCAUAGAGCGCAUGAGUACACAUCAACAAACAAGCAGUCAAGGCCGCUUCUGCGGGGUUGGUGUUGUGCACCAUACCUUUUACUGUCUCAACAGCGAGGGCCGUCUCCAGAUAGUCAGGCAAGCAACCACAGUGUUUCAGCAAGCAUGGGAACAUUUCACAUAGGGGGGCAACCUCCUUGGUUAAAACGUUUGCGUUCGUAACCUCCGGAUUGCAAUCAAGAACAUAUAUUUUUCCUGCAUUGAAAUCAACGGAAAUUCCGACCCAGUGUUUUCGGCUCAGGGAGAGAGGCAUGUAGAACCGUGAGGCAGCAGUGUUAGAAUUCAAACUCUUCACCACCAUAUCGACGAGGGCCUUUGUGAAUAUAUACGGAGUUCCGGACUUUGCUCUCCUGAACUUUUGAAAGUUCCUAGCCAACAAAACUUGAAGUCCACUAUCCAGGAAAACAGGAGAGGAAUGUGAGGUACCACAAAUUUUGUUGUUCACAGAUGCAGAAACUACCCUCAGAAGAAUGUCCAUAACCUGUAAACAGCAGGACACUGGUGAUCCAAAAUGGGUAGAAAGAUUAAUUCACUAUAAGUUUGAAAUCUAACGUUACAUACUCUGCCUGGGAGAAACCGGUUUCUUUCUCCAAUGUCCGUGAUGUCCUUCCCCGUGACGGAUAGGCCAGCGACGUUUAUAACGCUGAAAGGAAAACAUUUUCCAAAACGUCAGUCAUUUUUACCACAGUUUUAAUAAUAACAAAAAAAUACCAAUAACAGUAAUACAUUAUAAAGGUUCAUACCAAUGAUUCUUGAGUAGAAUCUUCAGACGGCUAUACUUUUCAUGAAUAACUCCUACAUCAUAAGCACCAUUACCAAAAAUCUGGCCUUCUCUCGCACGGUUAAGUAACGCAGUUCCACAUUGGUAGUCGGUGAGCAACUGAGGUGGGACGGUGCGUAUGCGCUUGCUCUUACGGCACAGUAAUGCCUCUCCUCCAUCUACUACAACCUCUCCAUUGCCUUUCCCACCACCCUGAUCUUCGUUCUCUCCCAUCUCAUCAUCAUCUUCAUGAGGAUGUUCGCGAAGCUCCUGAGUUAGGCCAAGUGAGAAUGACGGAACCUGCAGUCGAAUACAAUAUACAACACAUAGUAGCAGCCGUCAAACAAUAACAUAGAAACAAAGUAAUAAUUGAAUGAAAUAUGGGAGGAGAGGAUGUGAUCAUACAAUUGGAUCAACCUGUUGUUCCGUCUGGCUAUGACCAGACCUCGAUGAUUGAUCUUCCACGGACUUUCCCCCUUUUCCAUUCGAAUGCAUGUUAGACAGAUGCUUGUGGAUAGAUUCAGGUUGAACAUGCACCUAAGCGAACCGGGGUUCAUAACAGAUGGACAAAUUGACCGUUAAAAAUACAUUAUUGAAUUUUGAAUACGCAAAUACUAAAAGAAAUUGCUUGCUAAAAAGGUAUGUUGAUAAAAUUUUAAUUUACAACUUAUGUAUAUGAAGACGCGUUAUUUAUAAUUUUGGGGGAAAAAUGAUAUCUGAUAGUGGAGACGUAUCAUGUCGAUACUGAACACAAUGUGGUAAUAUAAAAGACGCCUAAGAAGUUUAUAAAGGCAUGAACAAAUUUCAAAACUUACCGCCUCGUUCUCCAUCAUUUGAUUUCCACUGUUGUGGUCAUCCGCAGCUCCAUCGAAAGGGUUGACCGAUUUUUGGGAGCAUGAUUUACCAGGUGAUCCCUGAAAUGACAACAUUAACACGUUCACAGGCCGUAUAUAUACAUCCAGCUAAUAAGGAAUGUAAAUUUGGUAAUGCGUUGUUCAAUAUCCGGAUAUAAACUACGUAUUCACGAUAUAUAUAUAGGGUUCCGGAUAUUUAACUAUCCCAAAUUGACUUCCCAACAGUUUACUUAACAUGGAGAACCACAUAGAGAGUAAAUAACUAAAGUGUGAGGAUUACCACUUACCGGGCAUUCGUUUUCUGCAGCAGGUGGCGUUGAGUAAUGACUAAUGUUUUCCAUCACAUUUUCGAUUAUCUCAUCAUUAUCAUCAAGAGGAAUGGGAGUCGUCUUUGAAGGAACACCUUCCACUCCCGGUUCUUCACCCGCUGCAGUUGAGUUUGGAUGCGCAAAAGCUGAUUGUGUAUGUAAAGUCGGCAUAAAUUUCAUCAUCUCAGUCUUGAAAGACUGCAACAUUCCUUCAACUAUUGCAAUAACCUUAUUUUCACAUCCAACAGACUGGGCAGACACCUCUUUAACUGAAGAAACAACAUCAGCAAUAUUCCCAUCGAUCCUGUUUACCUCCGGUCGCAGUAUGGCAUUUACAAUAGACGUUAUUCUGAUAUCGCCUUCCAAGCAAACUGGUGGAGCUUUAUCCUUUCUCGGAAUUCCUUUCUUUUUCCCUGCUGUUUUAGCCUUCUCACGCAUUCUUUCCACAUCAGCUUUUGUUACCCCUCCUCUGAACAUAUCUUUUGUAAAGAUAUGGUUAUCGUUUAUGCAACAAAGCAUAAACGAUACUUUUGCGUCAUCAACUUCAUCGGACCAUACAAGCACAGACUCGUCCACCGGCCUAGCUGGGUCUUGAGGUAUUAUACUCCGCACCAUAACCUAACAUACCAAUAAACGACGAAACAACAUUAAAGCUAAUAUAGUAAUUAAUUCAUAUCCUACAUAAGUGGACUAUACAAGUGGGGACCAUACCUCUUCUUUCUUGUCAACUUCGCGAGCAUGUGCAGGACUUAAAGUCUUCUUCUUUGUCUUCCUUGUACUGCGAUCAACAUCAUCUUCAUCGCUAUCAGACUCAGAUGAGGAACAAGACUCUUGCACUACUUCCGUGAGCGAAGGAACAGCUUCGACAAUUACGAGCUGCAAGGCGAAAGCAAAGCCUUUGAGAGCUACUGAAUUUUGGGACAGGGAGAUCUCAUCCUUUUUUUGAUACUAGUCAUCAACAUAUCAAAUGCUAACCGACCCCAAGGGAAAGAAAAGAAUUCGUCGAUGUCCUCAAGCAACUCAGCGUGUUCCUUCAACAUCUUCAUCUUCAGAUUAGUAGAUAACAAAACAGAUGAUACAAUUGCCAGACAGGCCAAUUUUAUCCGGAUAUCUUUGUCGGUGACGGUUUUUUUUCGCAGCAUCUUAACCGCCUUCGACACACGCAGCUCUUCGACACUUCCGAAGAGCUCAGGCCAGUAGGGUUUGUCGUUAAUCUUUUUCUUCUUCUUCAGCUUCUGUUUUUUGGGAAACUCGCCACAUGGAAGACCGGUGACGAUAGCAAACUCUCGGAGGGAAAAUCUUAUGGGCUUCCCAGCAAAUCGGAACCAAGCUUCAUAUUUCUUCUCAACUUUAAGUUGCCUGGAAAGAAGGAAUCGGGCAAAUCUACCUGAGAAGCCGGGUUUGUCACCAAUAUCGACUAGCUUACCAAAGGAAGAUUGUCGGAUAAACUGAAUCUCCUCUUCAUCGAGAGCACUCAAAAUGGAGUUAAUUGCGCGAGAAGACUGGUAUGUAAGAACCCUAACUCCCACGGGCUCCUCGCCGUCGGCGAACAUCAUACCAGGCAGAUUCAUCCUCGUUUCUUCGACUUGAUCUUCAGGAAAUUGAACAGACGGAUUCAUCGCCUUGGAAUUUUGUAGUGAAAUUUUUUGGGGAAGGUGAACAGAACGUGACAAAGAUCUGUGAAAGACGAAAAGCCAAUGAAAGAAGAAAAAGAAACAAUAAAAUUCUUUGAAAAUGUCGGAAAGUUUAUUCAGUAACAGUUGUCACGCGCAUAAUCAUUAAUUGCAAGGGAGUUUUACCGGCUAGCUCUGCGGUGUGUCAGACCCAAAAACUUUUUUAGCCUAAACCCUAGGUAUCAAUAUUUUAUGAUAAUAGGCCUAUUUUCGUCAUUAUGAAAAUGUGAACAGAAGCAUAACCAUUUACCUAAUAUAAUAAGUUAACGUAGUCAUACGAUGCAAAAACCCUAAAUUUUAUGUAACUAUUAAGAUGGGCUUAAGACAACAAAAAAGACAAAUGUUGUUUCGGUUGCUCAUCUCAUGGAAAGGAAGCUUGUGGUUUUUCUUUGCUCAAUCGCAUUGAUAUUUUUUAUAUGUUUUUGAUUUUGUGAACUUUUGAAUGAUUACUUGUAGGUGUUAAGAUUACAUGUCCAAGUUCGGUGACUUUGAGGAUUGCAUCGUCAUGAAGGUGUUUUGCUUUUCAAUUACGAGUCAUCAUCUGAAAAACUUGUUUUUGUGUGUUUAGGAUCGAUCAACUGGAAGAUCUCGUGGCUUUGGAUACGUCACCUUUGCUUCAUCUCAAGAUGCUUCUUCCAUUGGCAUAACUGUGAUGAGUGCUUUGUAGGAAGGACGCUCUGAAAUGUGAACAUGUUUUGGGGAACAGAAUCUUGGAAGUCAAAGUUGCUACACCAAAGGUUAGUAGUUUCCAUAUGGCUUAUGUUCUUUUAUUCAAAAGGGGUUGGUUAUGUUUCAUAACUUAUGUUAAUUGUGACAGGAAGAGAUGAGACAGCCUGCCAAAAAGGCGACAAGGAUCUUUGUUGAGAGGUAUGGUGAAAUCACUGACCUGUACAUGCCUAAGGUGAAAUCUAUCCUACUUAUUUAAUUGCAUUUCUUAUAAUACUUUGAAGAUUUUGUGGUCACAUCUUUAGCUUGGUGUGUCUCCUGGAUUUGAUAGAGUUACACUGAGAACAUUUGGUGAACAUGUUUGCACAUUCAUCUUUUUGUUGUUAACAGGACCCAAAGAGAAGUGGACAUAGAGGUUUCGGGUUCGCUACCUUUGCUGAAAACGGUGUUGCAGAUCGUGUAUCCCGGAGAUCUCAUGAAAUCUGUGGACAAGAGGUAAAUAAAAAAAGCUUUGUAGUUGAGGAUUUGAUUCUUAUGCUUUUUGAUUAAAAAUCUCUACUUAGUUGGGAUAUGGAAUGCCNNNNNNNNNNNNNNNNNNNNNNNNNNNNNNNNNNNNNNNNNNNNAAUGCCGAGCGCAAGACAAUCAAGAUCAGACUGGAGGUACCGGCCAUACUAAUAAUGCACACCUUACAAACAUUAUCAUUGAGCUUUUGGCUUUGUCAGUUGUAUUGAAACUUCACUUGUCAGAUAGAUUUAUUGAAUCCUCAAUGAUCAAUUUAUUUGUUAUGUUUCUUUCCCUUUGGGAAUAACUGAAACCUGCUUUCGUGAUGGUAUUACUAACGCUGGGAUUUUUAACCGAACAGAACCGACCCAAAAAGUUUAGCAAUACCAAUUUUUAACCAAAAUUCCAAACCAAACUAACAAAAAUCCGAAUCGAAAUAACUGAAAUUAACCAUUCUUUUUUUCAAAUUUUAUUCAAUUGUAACAAAAAUAUUUAACCAAAAAUUUUGGUUAAAUUUUUUGAAACCGAACUAACCGGAAACUAAUUUUAUUUUUUGUUCACUUAGAUUUUGACCGACCCGAACUAACCGAAUUAAAAGACCCAAACUAACCAAAGAAACCGAACCCGCAGACCUAGGUACUGUGAAGAGAAAUGAAAGUUGGGAACAGAUCAAAAGCUUUACAAGAAAAUUUUGCAGUGUACAAACGUUUUUGUUUUUGUUCAAAUAUGUCUUUCACAACAAAAAAAAAGAAUGGAAACUAGAGAGCAGAUGGAGACUUUCUGCAAUCAACGCGAGGAGCAAAGCAAGCCAUGAAAGGCGUCAUGAAAGUAUGUCUCCGGACAAGAUGAGUGAUCUUCACUGAGUUUCUAGAGACUUGUUGCUGUUCUUGUUGAUGGUCACUGGACACUGAAACUGAGCUUCUCCUCAUCUCCUGCGCCUUCAACUUCGCUGAUUGAAGCUUGUUCAAUAUCUUAUCCAUAGAUGCUGACUUCUUCUUCUCCAGUUUCACCUGUCAUUCAAAGAUUCAAUACAAUGCUGUUCAUGCUGACUAUACAAAAGGUAGAGAAGAAGGAGGACCUCAAGUUUUCUAAUGGCAGCUUCUGCUUUAGCUUUCUGAAGAUUCUCCCAAGCUGCUAUCUUCGCUUCCUCUCUUUGCAACCUUCAACACAAAGACAGAACACAUUAAUAAGCUAAUCCAAUAAGAAGAAGUCAUUGGCUGGUUGGUUCAGUUUUGGUUAAUUACUUAGAAAGAGUCAUGGCAGGUUCAGAGAUAUCCCAAGAGGAAGAAGAAGCAGAAGCUUCAGAGUUGUCUUCAACCUCAGGAGGCUGCUCCUCUCUCCUCAUAACAACCCUCGAAGAAGAAGACAUGACUCUUCUCUUUGGACGCUUAAUCAUCUUAGCUCCUUUAUCCAUCUUCACUUCCCUCACUUCACCUCCUCCUCUACAAGGAGGAGUAGUCUCAUCAACCACAGAAACAACCAACGGUGGAGAUAAUAGCUCCUGAGGAUUAUUAUUAGGACUCAUCUCUUCUGGACUCAUCUGCGUAGCUAUGUCUCUUCUUGACACCACCGGAGAUUGCGCCGCCGUACCCUUCCUGUCCUCUGCAUAAAAUUCAAUAAAGCUUAGAUCUUUGGACAUAACUACACAACAAUCACCUCAAAGUUUGGUCCUUUUCAAGAUUAUCUUGAUUGGGUUUGUCAAAAGUUAGUCUCUUUUGAUGUAAAGACUGAAACUUUCCAAGAGGAGAGAGAGAGCUUACCAGUAUCAGUUUUGGAGCUGAGAGAAGAAGUCUCUUCACUCAUCAAAUCAACCCAGCUCCGGCUAUGUCCAUGUCCACCACCACCACCACUACCACCAACACUCCCUCUGAAAACCCUUUCCGCCUCCAAGACUCCGGUAGAGAACGGCGAGCCAGACACCAUUAAACCUUUAGGAGCUGCUUCCAUAGCCCUCAGCCUCGGAGAAUACGGCGGAGGAUGAGGAAGCGUAGGAGGAACAAUGGGACCGCUUUUGGACUUCUGCCGUCUCUGUUCAGAGAACUGAGAGCUCAGGUUUGCGCAGACGCCGGGCGGGUAAGCCGCGACGGGGCUGCAAAUCCACCGCUCGGCGUCUUCCCAUUUGGAAGGUACGGCUCUGCCGCUGUAAAACGGCGUCGUUAAAGCGGAGGAGGAGCCGAGGUGGCGGCGAGGGGCGNNNNNNNNNNNNNNNNNNNNCGUUAAGGCGGAGGAGGAGCGGAGGUGGCGGCGAGGGCCGUGGCCGUUGUUGAGUGUGGGAGUGGAAGAAGCGGUGGAGGAGGAAGGGUGGGGGACUCUCUCGGAGCUCCAGCCUUUGUUGUCGGAGUAGCUACUCGGAGCUGCUCCGGGGCUUAGGAAGCCGCCGAAGCUGUUUGAAGAAAGAGAUGUCUUCCUCAUCUCUUUGUCUGCAGAGAAUAGUGAAAAAGAAAGAAUCUUUCAGAUUUAAAGGUGGAAAAGCUUUAUUAUGAAGAAACUGAACUCAUUUUUCUUUGUUGACCGGAGAGAUUUGAAGUGUGUUCAAAGAGAGAGAGAGAGAGAGUGAUGAUGUAAACUGAAUAAAGAGUAGAGGAAAUGUACUUUUGUGUUUCUCAAAAGGUGAGAACUUUGAGAGAAGAGAGAGAUAGAGAUGAGGAGAGAGAGAGAGAGAGAGAGAGAGAGAGACAAAUCAGAUCAAACCAAAGAGAGAGGGGAGAGUUUUUGUUUUGUAAGCAUUAAGACAAAUGUCCGUGGCCGGUCCGAUCAUAAACUCAACAAUUAAAAGGUGAUAAAAAGCUUGGUGUGUAUUUUUGAUUAGGUGAUAAAAAGCUUGGUGUGUACUAUUUUUUAUUUCCGUUCGAAUUAGAUUAUCAUCAUUUUUGGUCAAUUUUGAUUUGAGUUUUGGUAUAAGUGGUUUAUAUAGUGAAUUGUAACAGAUGAUCGGUUCACCUUCUGACAUUAGGUGAAAAAUAUUUUAAAUUCGGAUCAGACAACGUAGUAGCCAGCAAUUCACUAUGUAUCAUUAAGCGUGUUUCGACCGACUCUAUCGAUAGAAUUUAUAAAAGAAAAAAAAAGAUGAUAAAAGAAAACAAGAUAUCUCUUAACAUUAAAAUCAAUUUAAAAUUGACUUCUUUUGAGGUAAUGCAAUUUAAACUUUCUUAAAAUGGAAAAUAAAAUUAAUGAAGAAAAAUGAUUAACAGAUUUGGACGGGGAAAAAAAUUUCCGUUAUAGCUUUUAUCCUUGUUAUUUGUUUUGAUCCUCUGCAGCGUUACACAAAGCCACAACUCUUCCCAUGUGACCAUUCUGCUCUUUUGUUUGUUCUUUCGAUACAUUUCAGACACUUUUUUGUCGUUUCUGUUAAUAGGCUUCCCGCUUUUUCCUUUUUAACUUUUUUUACGUUAUUUAACUGUUAACUAUUUUUCUUAUAUAGAUUUGUAUGUACUGUAACUUCCUGCAGACCUAGAAAGAAGGAUCGUAGCCACUCAAUAAAGAAACACUGCUUUUAGUUCUAAUUGGUGGAGGUAAUAUAAGUUGAAAUAACUCCGUGAGUUCGUAAAUUCUAGAACCUUCAUUUAGUACUAGUUCAAUACUAACAUUAUAGACUUUGUGUUUACGGAUGUUUAACAAGUUUAUUACUAGUUACCAAACUAGUAGUUUGUUUUAUACACUACAGUUUGAGCAGUACUUAGCAGUUCGAAGUAGCCACUUUUGAAGACAUUUCACAUGUAAUAUACGACGGAUAUACCAACAUACUUAAUUCGUCAUUGUUUUAAUAAUUACUUACAUCCUUUAAUAAAGCAAUCUCGUUUGUCGUGGCAUUUCUCAUCUCGGCUUUUAGUACUUACAGUUCCAAAGAUCUGAAUUCCUCAAAUUGUUGAUUAUUCAUGAAGUUGCGAAAUUUGAAAGCGUUAGUAAAAAAUAACACGGAGUCAUUAUCACGUUAUGCUACUAUGUAUUGAAAGCAUAGGGAUGAUCAAGCACAGAGACACAGACGACAAAACACACUAGUCUCUCGUUGUUAUUUAAUGUGGCAUUGAUUUUUCGAACAAAACAAACCCAUCAAUUUGUAUAAAAAAUAUUUCUGAAUAUGGGUCUAAUUAUAAAAAAAAAACCCACGUAUCAUAUUUGACGCAUGACAAAUAGCGACUCCGCUCCUACCACAUUCGACGUUUGAUCUUUUCUUCUCCUUCAUUCAGAUCGUUCUUAUCUUUUGUCACAGAUAUGUUAUGAAAAAUAUCUACAGAGAGAGACCAGACUAAUCGUUUAAGGUCGCAUGUAAAAUAGCGAAUCCUCUCAUAUCACAUUCAACGUUAAACUUCUUUGUUUUUCCUUCAUUCAAAUUUCAAACCAUUAUAAGAAUAUCAUAUCCGUAUUGAAAGAAACACAGAGAAAGAGAGAUUUCAACUAACACAUUUUUGACUACAUAAUAAUUAAAUUAAAUGAUUGACAAAAAUAUCAAUCAAUGUUCAAAACUUUAUUAUUGUAGAUUUGUAACAAUUAUAGCUGAUGUAUUAUUACCUUUACAUCCAUUGACUAAAACAAGCUUUAUAUCUUUAUUCAUUUACUAAAAUUAAGCUUUUAGUUUCAACAUCUGAUAAACUACCAAAACAAACCAUCUGAAAGCUUAAUUCUUGUUUGCUACCAUUGAUGCAAAACAGCUAUAGUAUGACACAAUGUCGCAGUCGAACUUUAUUCAGGAUAGAAAAGUAAGAAAACAAGAAAACACACAUAACAAAUAUAUAAAAAUAUAGGACAAGAGGCAAACAUAUAGUCUUUUGGCUUCAAUAAUCCUCUUCAUCUGUUUCCCUUCAUAGUUCAGUGCCUUGUCCUGCUUCUUCGCCUGCAAG
This 21883-nucleotide long non-coding RNA is filed under the name Brassica napus (rape). RNAcentral's name for it is "long non-coding RNA (BNAP_LNC000030)". The record is from RNAcentral. Lineage: Eukaryota; Viridiplantae; Streptophyta; Magnoliopsida; Brassicales; Brassicaceae.